UUUUUAUAUGGAUUUUUGAUUGAACCGGUUUUUUGUUAAUUUAUGGUUUUACUAAAAUAUCCUUUCCUUAUAUUUCUCAAUUACUUUUAAUCUUAUCUUAUUUUUUGUUUGUAUUUUCGUUUCUUCCAUAAUGUUUGCCGUUUUUUUGCCUUUUUUUUUCGAAAAUUAUAUAUAUUUUUUGAAUUAUUUUUUUUUCGAAUUUUUUUAUUUUUCUUUUAAAAUUUCCUUUCUUAAAUUCCUCAACUACUUUUAAUCUUAUCCUAUUUAUCUUGUAUUUUAGUUUUUUUUCCCUAUUUUUCGGUUUAUUCGAAAAUUGUUUUUUUUCUUCUGAAAAGUGAAAAUUUUAUGAUUUUUUUCGAAUUGUUAUUUAUUUAUUUUUUUCUGAGAUUUUAUUAUGUUUUUCCGACGAAUUUAUGAAUUGUUGUAAACAUAAUCCUAUAGUAAUUAUUUUUGCAUAUAUUAUUUUUUUAUUGUUCCGAAAAUAUUUUUUUUCGAAAAUAAUUUUUUUUAAUUUAUCUCAUUUGUUUUUCGAAUUUUAUUUUAUUUUUUUCAAAAAUUUAUGAAUUGACUAUGUUUUCUUUUAAAUUUGUUCGAUUAUUGAGGGUUCUAUUUUCAGCCAAUUUUUUUUUCCGAAAAUUGUAUUAAUUUUUUUGAUUUGUUUUCAUUAGAAUAUCCUUUCCAAAAUUAUCUCAUCCGUUUUUUAGUAUUAUAUUCGAUUUUAAUUGUUUCUGUUAUUUUUUUCUUCUGUAAUUUUAUUUUAUUUUUUUGAAAAUUGUAUUUUUUUGGAUUUGUUUCCUUUAAUAUGGGGAUUCUCCUAAAAACCAAUUAGAUUUACUUCCACACAUAUUAUAUGUUCCAAAAAUUAAUUAUUUAUAUUUUUCGAUUAUAUUUUAUUCAUUUUUUUUACAUUUAUUUUAGGAUUCUCUUAAAAAAUAAUUGUAGAUUGUUUUCAUACGUAUUAUUUUUCUUGAAAAUUCUAUUAUUUAUUUUCCCUCUUGGUGCUCUAAGG
RNAcentral lists this long non-coding RNA (1009 nucleotides) under Salvia miltiorrhiza (redroot sage). RNAcentral describes it as "long non-coding RNA (SMIL_LNC011757)". Lineage: Eukaryota; Viridiplantae; Streptophyta; Magnoliopsida; Lamiales; Lamiaceae. The record is from RNAcentral.